GGCCAGGUAGCUCAGUUGGUUAGAGCAUUGUUCUGAUACACCAAGGUUGCAGGUUCAAUCCCCAAUCUGGGCA
This 73-nucleotide transfer RNA is filed under the name Myotis brandtii (Brandt's bat). It matches the Rfam family "tRNA". From Rfam's summary of the family: Transfer RNA (tRNA) molecules are approximately 80 nucleotides in length. Their secondary structure includes four short double-helical elements and three loops (D, anti-codon, and T loops). Lineage: Eukaryota; Metazoa; Chordata; Mammalia; Chiroptera; Vespertilionidae. The record is from Rfam by way of RNAcentral.